GCGCGUAAAUUGCCCGAAUCCUGACACAGGGAGGUAGUGACAAGAAAUAACAAUACAGGGCUACUUUAGUCUUGUAAUUGGAAUGAGUACAAUUUACAUCUCUUCACGAGGAUCAAUUGGAGGGCAAGUCUGGUGCCAGCAGCCGCGGUAAUUCCAGCUCCAAUAGCGUAUAUUAAAGUUGUUGCAGUUAAAACGCUCGUAGUCGGAUUUCGGGGCCUGCCUGCCGGUCUGCCGAUGGGUAUGCACUGGCAGGCGCGUCCUUCCUUCCGGAGACUGUCCCUACUCUUAACUGAGCGGGGUCGGGAGACGGAUCGUUUACUUUGAAAAAAUCAGAGUGUUUCAAGCAGGCAGCUCGCUCUUGCAUGGAUUAGCAUGGGAUAAUGAAAUAGGACUUUGGUGCUAUUUUGUUGGUUUCGAACACCGAGGUAAUGAUUAACAGGGACAGUCAGGGGCACUCGUAUUCC
RNAcentral lists this ribosomal RNA (464 nucleotides) under Haptophyta environmental samples. RNAcentral describes it as "SSU rRNA". It matches the Rfam family "Eukaryotic small subunit ribosomal RNA", at positions 432 to 900 of the family's 1831-position model. The record is from RNAcentral. Lineage: Eukaryota; Haptophyta.